This 861-nucleotide ribosomal RNA is filed under the name Triticum aestivum (bread wheat). Its description in RNAcentral is "partial small subunit ribosomal RNA". The record is from RNAcentral. Lineage: Eukaryota; Viridiplantae; Streptophyta; Magnoliopsida; Poales; Poaceae.
AUGGGAUUCGGCCAACUGCUUCUUGUAGCGAGGUUCUCAUGGGUAUUUAUGAAAGAUGGUUUUCAUGGGUUGCCUAUCUUCUUUUUUAGGCUAAAAUCUCAUGGUGUCAAGUUUCCAAGAGGAAUACGGCAACUGAAGGCCCUCCACACGUUGGGUGUUGUGAAUAUUGAUGGGGCGGACACCAUUCUUGAAGACCUGCAGUAUCUUACCGAGUUGCGUAAAUUAAGGGUGACUGGUCUCAACAAGAGAAAUUAUGUGAAAUUCUUCUCAGCUAUUACCGAUAUGGAAUGUUUGGAAUCCUUGCUUGUACGGUCAGAGGGGAAUCCAGGUUUAGCCGGCUGCUUUGCCGAAGUGUCUCUAGCUCCCAAAAAUCUUCGGAGCCUCAAGCUAUAUGGCAACCUGAUUGAACUGCCAACAUGGAUCGAGGGACUUCAAAACCUUGGAAAGUUGGAGCUACGGAGCACCAUGAUAUGGGAACACGAUGAGGCCAUACAAUUCCUUGGGGAGCUACCGAACCUGACCAACUUACACCUAUUGCAGGAUUCAUUCAGCAGUAUUUUUGUCUCCUUCAAUUUUUCCCCUGGUGCAUUCCCGAGUCUGCAGGUGUUGGAACUGAGUUUGUGGUCUCAAGGACAAUGGAAGCGUGGCAUAGGAAAGCUACGAGAGGUGAAGUUCGAAGAUGGAGCAGCCCCUAAGCUUGAGGUGCUGCUGUUUUCUGCCCCACCUUACGAGAGAAACAUUGGGUUGUUUACUGGGCUAAAAUAUCUCACAAACCUCAAGGAAUUCAUGCUGCACAACAAACGCUAUGAGGACGACGCCUUCGUGGAGGGCUUGCGGAAAACACAAGUGGACCCAGUUUGA